This 170-nucleotide small RNA is filed under the name Lachnoclostridium sp. An14. RNAcentral's name for it is "Clostridiales-1 RNA". It matches the Rfam family "Clostridiales-1 RNA". The record is from Rfam by way of RNAcentral. Lineage: Bacteria; Bacillati; Bacillota; Clostridia; Lachnospirales; Lachnospiraceae.
AGAUACCAGGGGCAAAAGGCGGGAAAACGAACACAGACCUGCCUGCGGGAGAAUUUUAACCUUCUGCCCUGUCAAAACACAAAUGAAGAAACCGUUUGAAAGAAAAACGGGAGGAAUAUGAAUGUUUUUAAGGGCCGAAAACGCGCGCGGCGCGAAACGGUCCGGUAUCA